GUUGUAUGGUUAAGUGACUAAGCGUACAUGGUGGAUGCCUUGGCAGUCAGAGGCGAUGAAGGACGUACUAACCUGCGAUAAGCCGUGAGCAGUCGGUAAGAGACAUUACGACUCACGGAUUUCCGAAUGGGGAAACCCACUUAGCAUAAGCUAGGUAUCGCUGCGUGAAUACAUAGCGUAGCGAGGCGAACCGGGAGAACUGAAACAUCUAAGUACCCCGAGGAAAAGAAAUCAACCGAGAUUCCCUCAGUAGCGGCGAGCGAACGGGGAUUAGCCCUUAAGCAUCUUGGAAGUUAGUGGAACGGUCCUGGAAAGGCCGGCGAUACAGGGUGAUAGCCCCGUACACGAAAACAACCUUGAUGUGAAAUCGAGUAGGGCGGGACACGUGACAUCCUGUCUGAAUAUGGGGGGACCAUCCUCCAAGGCUAAAUACUCCUGACUGACCGAUAGUGAACCAGUACCGUGAGGGAAAGGCGAAAAGAACCCCUGUGAGGGGAGUGAAAUAGAACCUGAAACCGUGUACGUACAAGCAGUGGGAGCCCUUCGGGGUGACUGCGUACCUUUUGUAUAAUGGGUCAGCGACUUACAUUUUGUAGCGAGGUUAACCGUAUAGGGGAGCCGUAGGGAAACCGAGUCUUAACUGGGCGUCUAGUUGCAAGGUGUAGACCCGAAACCGGGUGAUCUAGCCAUGGGCAGGUUGAAGGUUGAGUAACAUCAACUGGAGGACCGAACCCACUAACGUUGCAAAGUUAGGGGAUGACCUGUGGCUGGGGGUGAAAGGCCAAUCAAACUCGGAGAUAGCUGGUUCUCCCCGAAAGCUAUUUAGGUAGCGCCUCGGACGAAUACUACUGGGGGUAGAGCACUGUUUGGGCUAGGGGGUCAUCCCGACUUACCAACCCCAUGCAAACUCCGAAUACCAGUAAGUAAUAUCCGGGAGACACACGGCGGGUGCUAACGUCCGUCGUGAAGAGGGAAACAACCCAGACCGCCGGCUAAGGUCCCAAAGUUCUGGUUAAGUGGGAAACGAUGUGGGAAGGCUCAGACAGCUAGGAUGUUGGCUUAGAAGCAGCCAUCAUUUAAAGAAAGCGUAAUAGCUCACUAGUCGAGUCGGCCUGCGCGGAAGAUGUAACGGGGCUCAAAC
Molecule: ribosomal RNA, 1141 nt
Filed under: Aeromonas hydrophila
Lineage: Bacteria; Pseudomonadati; Pseudomonadota; Gammaproteobacteria; Aeromonadales; Aeromonadaceae
Description: partial 23S ribosomal RNA
Rfam family: Bacterial large subunit ribosomal RNA
Source: RNAcentral